AGCCUUAGUACGUUAUGAUGUGCCAAACCAUUAUAAGGGGGGAUAUAUGACCAUGAUCGUAAGUCACCACUGUGGCCCCUACCUACGGCUUCGCAAAUAUGCUCUCGUCAGAGGGAACACUCAUCAUUCACAAUGAGCAAUUCACCAACAAAUUCAAAUUGAGAGACAGAGAUAGAACAGAAACAGAGAUAAAAACCCCUA
RNAcentral lists this long non-coding RNA (201 nucleotides) under Carica papaya (papaya). RNAcentral describes it as "long non-coding RNA (CPAP_LNC011060)". The record is from RNAcentral. Lineage: Eukaryota; Viridiplantae; Streptophyta; Magnoliopsida; Brassicales; Caricaceae.